Molecule: ribosomal RNA, 460 nt
Filed under: uncultured bacterium
Lineage: Bacteria
Description: partial 16S ribosomal RNA
Rfam family: Bacterial small subunit ribosomal RNA
Source: RNAcentral
CCUACGGGAGGCAGCAGUGAGGAAUAUUGGUCAAUGGACGAUAGUCUGAACCAGCCAAGUAGCGUGAAGGAUGACUGCCCUAUGGGUUGUAAACUUCUUUUAUAUGGGAAUAAAAUGUUCCACGUAUAGGGUUUUGUAUGUACCAUAUGAAUAAGGAUCGGCUAACUCCGUGCCAGCAGCCGCGGUAAUACGGAGGAUCCGAGCGUUAUCCGGAUUUAUUGGGUUUAAAGGGAGCGUAGGCGGGUUGUUAAGUCAGUUGUGAAAGUUUGCGGCUCAACCGUAAAAUUGCAGUUGAUACUGGCAGUCUUGAGUACAGUAGAGGUGGGCGGAAUUCGUGGUGUAGCGGUGAAAUGCUUAGAUAUCACGAAGAACUCCGAUUGCGAAGGCAGCUCACUGGACUGCAACUGACGCUGAGGCUCGAAAGUGUGGGUAUCAAACAGGAUUAGAUACCCGGGUAGUC